Molecule: long non-coding RNA, 174 nt
Organism: Drosophila arizonae
Lineage: Eukaryota; Metazoa; Arthropoda; Insecta; Diptera; Drosophilidae
Gene: Vha55
Source: RefSeq, a predicted model, not a curated record
AAGUUUUACACAGCCUGACCAGUGUCAGAGUGAUUUUUCUUCGUACUUGCAACGACGUCGCAGGCCAAAAUUUUGCGUGUGGGUCGCAGUAUUAUUUAAAACGGAAAAAUUCUCGAAAUUUGCUGUGCACUUUUCAAGGUAGAGGCAAUCGCGUAUAACAAAAAAUUCAUUUCG